This 609-nucleotide ribosomal RNA is filed under the name Triticum aestivum (bread wheat). RNAcentral describes it as "partial small subunit ribosomal RNA". Lineage: Eukaryota; Viridiplantae; Streptophyta; Magnoliopsida; Poales; Poaceae. The record is from RNAcentral.
CCCAACCCUCUCCACCGCAUCUGGGUCAGGGAGGACCAGCAGGUGCUCAGCUACCUGCUGAGCAACCUCUCCAAAGAGGUGCUCAUCACGGUGACCACGGUCACCACGGCGCAUGCGCCCUGGACGACGCUGGCGGGCAUGUACUCGUCGCAGUCGCUGAGCCGCGUCAACAACAUCCGUACCUCGCUCAUCAACGCGCAGAAGGGCAACCAGUCCGCCGCCGCCUACUUCGCCACCAUGCGAAGCCUCGCGGACGAGCUGGCUGCAGCCGGCAAACCCAUCCAAGACGAUGAACUGAUCUCGUACAUCCUCCACGGGCUGGAUCUGGAGUACCAGCCCCUCGUCUCCGCCCUCAACACGCGCGUCAGCCCUGCCUCCCUUGACGAAUCUUCUCCAUGCUCAACAACUUUGACUAGCGCAUGGCGCAAUUCCAGAACUCUGGCGGCGGCGGCUUCAAAUCCUCCGCCAACCUUGCUUCCCGUGGUCGUGGCGGCGGCUCUCGCUACCGCGGUCCUUCUCAUGGCAAGGGCAGGUCCGGCGGCGCUAGUGGUGGUGGCGCUCUGUGGCUGGGGAACACACCUCCUCCGCCCCACGCCAAUCAGGCGAUGA